Molecule: non-coding RNA, 80 nt
Organism: Ceratotherium simum simum (southern white rhinoceros)
Lineage: Eukaryota; Metazoa; Chordata; Mammalia; Perissodactyla; Rhinocerotidae
Source: RefSeq, a predicted model, not a curated record
CUACGCUUUAAUUUGUGGGAAAAUCUGAUCUGCCUAUUUGGGGAGAUAAAAAGCAUUGCUUAGAGAGAUUAAGUAACUUU